UUUUUGAAGGCUGGAUGUUUCCUCUUUAACUAGACCCAAAGGAGAACAUUGUUGAGUUUAACUAAGCAGAAAGAUUAGGGGGAGGCCUUCCAGAGAAGUAGUCUUCUUCUCUUAUUACACCGUAUUUUUUAGCAAAAUAUGACACCAAAACACGUGAAUAAGCGAAAAGAAGUCAAUUUUAACUAAAGAUGGUGUACUGUAGUAUUUCCACUUACAGGCAGUAACAAAUAACAUCCACUUGAGUGCUGCCCAGAGGUACUUUUUGGGGGUAUCUGUGCUUUACUUCAGUGAUUUUAACUCCACUUCGUCUUUAUGGAUGUUCUCAUUACCCACUACUUUUGUUCUGAAGUCAGCUGAUGAUUUUGAUUUCUUGUCCAAAAUCAAAUCAGAAAGACAACAAACUACAUUCCUGUUCUUUGGUGGUUUGUCCAAGUGGUGUUGCCGUACCUGUACAUAUCACACCUCAACGGUUGAAAUCCUGUUUCCUCUGUUUGAUAUAGGCAAGCUUCAUCACCACUCAAUCAAAGAACACAUGUUGAGGUAUCAAUUUAAACAUCUCCUUUAUUUCGGAUGAACUUUUAAAACUGAGUUGUCCGUGCAUGAAGCAACUUAGAUGUUGUUUUUAUAUGUUUAGUUUUCACUGUUAUUAUCUGAUCUCUGUCAUUGUUGCAUUUUGUGAAAGUGUUGAAAAAUGGUGGUGUGAGAUGGCAGCCUCUGAGGAUGGAGUCCCACUAAAAAGGAAAAAAAAAAAAAAGGAAAAAUGAUAAUAAAAAUUGAUGAUAAUGAUUUUGAUAUUCAGGUGAUUUUACGCAGAUGUUUGCUCUGGUAAGUAUCGCUAAAUACACGCUGUACCUCAAUUUAAAUGUGUUUUCCUGUGUAUUUAAAAGCCUCUGUUUUCUGUCUUCCAUCUAUAUUAAAAUGCAGCUGUGAUCACUUUGUUAGGACGAGAAGUGCUUUAGUAAAAACACUGAGUCUGACGUUUCACAACGUUAUGAACCUCUGUGUUUUGUGGGAGGUGAAAAGGAGGAGGGGACUGAAAGACUUUGACUGACAAUCUGUUAUUCUCUGUGGUGACAAAAGGAUUUUGACCAUCUAUCUUCUCGUCUUUUUUUUUCCUUUGCGUCUCUUACAGAUCUUUGUCCACCAAAUAAAACUCGAGCUUGUGGUGCUAUCUCAGCUGAAGGCCUGUCUGCUCCUCCCUGCAGCUUGCUGGCCUGAUCCAGCCGUUACAGUGUGGUGAGGCCAUGAUAAGGUUAUCGGGGAGCCUGUACCGACCGGCUAACUCUGCGAGAGUCUGCUGCCCUCAGAUUUCACCCCCCUGCUCGUACUCCACCUCCCUUCUGUCAGCCUCUGGAGCUCAAAGUUCUGAACCGGCAGCUGCUGUUAGUCACAUGCAAAGCUUUCGGUGUACAUGCUCAUAUUUGGAUAAGUGAUGUAGAGUUAAGGCCCCGCCUACAAAGCCUUGUCAAUUUCUGUAGGCAAAACCAAAGAUUAUCAGUAAUAGCUUUAGCUGCGCUCUAACUUAUUCACUGUGUCUUUGAUAUUAAGCUCUGCAUGUGGCAGAACUCAUCACACAACUCGACAGGGAUUAAACUCAUAACUACAUGUUACUGUAAAAACAAAAGAAAUGAGAAAGUAUGCAAUAUUUUUGUUAUCUUCACUAGAAGAUUGCACUGGCAUGAAAGGACUGUCAGUAUUUACAGUAUUUGGUCAUGCACGUACCAAGCUCGGUUAAAACUACAAACUCCUAUGGUGGUUUUUAGGAUUUACUCCACACUUCAAUAUUAAGCUGCACAACAUGUAGUCCUUGUUACAGCAUUCCUCUAAACCCAAACAUGCUAACAUGCUUGUUACUCUGUGAAAGUCAGUGUUUGACCAAACUCAGUUGAUGGUUAAAAGCUGGCCAUUCACCCCUUCAUCAGCUGUUGUUUACUCAAGUGUCUUAAAAAUGUCCUAAUAUUCUUGGGUUGAGCUGCAAGUGUGAAAGCAAGCAGCCAAAACUUUCAACCUGACCUCAUCAAAAACUUUCUUCACCAGAAGUUGGGAUAGCCAACGAGAAAACUCAGCAGAAAAUAUUGGAGAAUAUUCAUCAUGGAUGAGCAGGAGAGCGGUGAUUAUCUUUAUUUCAGAUGACAGGAAACACCCAAGGCUGAAUUAGGACAAUAACUUUCAAGACCAGAACUAUGAAGAUGUCUGUCGUUGUUCACCAACAAGUUACUGUGAUUGUCCCACUAUGCCUUUAAUGUCAUGCCCUGCCCCCAAAUAGACUCUCCCCCAUCUACCUCCCACCUCAACCAAAAAAGAAGAAGUGUGUGAACAAGAAGCUCCUUAAAAAUAUCCCAAAUAUCCCAAAAUAGUCAGAAGUUCUUAUGUAAAAGAGGCUUAAGUAAAAAUUUUGACGCCCGCCUCGCAGUAGUAGUUAUUAGACAUUAAAAAUAAUGAUAUCCCAAUAGUCUUGUUGCUGAUGGUUUUGUGCGCAUAUGUACAUCAUGAAAUGGCAUCAUUAUGUAUUUCAGUGUAUUCCAUAGGUGUCUAAAAUCUUCUCACAGGUACUUUAACUCUUUGGGCUGUGCUGCAACACAUUGCGAAUAAUUAUUGUUGGAAUUGGACUCGUUACAUUUUUCAUCUCUGUUGUGUUACCUGUUGUGUAUGAUCCUUUCAUAUUGGGAGUUUAAAAAUAUACGAUUGUUGUAAUCAGAAGGGUAAAUGAAUGACAUUUGUGUGAACUAAAAUAUCUUGUACCAUCCCUACAGGAGUUGGUGUCCAAAUUGGGCCACUGUGCCAAAAAGUCUGAACACACACCAAAAAGGAUCAGCAGUCACAUGUUUAGAUAUGUAUUGGCAUUCCAAACAGGCCUGUUAAUUUCAAAGUGUUUUCCAAUAGAAUGAAAUGUUUUAAUUAAUGUCAUUAAGGCAUUUAACUCCUUCAAGCCCUUGCUGCAGAGCCAGAAAAGAUCAUAACAUAUCCCAUCUUAGACUCAGGAAGUAUCCUUUAAACUGCCACAUGAACUUCUUCUGUUUCCUGCAUUGCAGCACUAUUUAUAAUGAUAACAAGCUGAAUGUGACUUGAAUGCACCAGAAUGUGUUGCUUACUCUUAAAAAUAAGUUUUUUAAAUCCCAGAAAUUCAACCUCAGGAAAUAUCGCUCUUCUUUAUCAUGCAAAUCUUGUAUGUCACUUUGUGGGAGUGGCCCUUAAAAGCGCUUAUCUAAGGGAGAGCAGACACAAAGAAUAAGGGUCCCCAGUAAUCAAAUACCAUCACACACCCUCAGUAUGUGACAGCAGAAGGAUGUGGUCUCACAGCAUCUUCCUGUGUCCAGUCAUAGAGAGGAAAUCUGCUGACACUUAAUGUUUCUUUUCUAAAAUUAUUCCCGUCUUAAAAGCACACAGUGAUGGCUCAGUGACAUGUCCUCAACACUAACUUUACAAAAAAAUUAUAUUAUUCUCAUGAGUUACUUUGUGAAAUAAUUCUUAAUGUUGCAUUUCGUCAAUAAUCUGAAAAAUCUCAGAGAGAGAUUUGGCAAUAAUUUAAGUUUGAAAAACAUACCUGAAAGCAAACAUCAGAGAACAGCUAAUAAUAUCCUGGUGAUUAUUAACUGGGACAAGGACAGAAAUUCAAUGAAACCAUGUAAUGGUGCCAUAACUGUGGCUCAACUUAGCCUGUAAAUAUACAGAUGGUUAAACAGCAUCUUUAGCUUCUUACUUCAACAACCACAGCAGCAUUUGGCAAAAAGUACAGUAAACGGGAUCACUCUCUUAACUAUACCACCU
This 3768-nucleotide long non-coding RNA is filed under the name Xyrichtys novacula (pearly razorfish). The record is from RNAcentral. Lineage: Eukaryota; Metazoa; Chordata; Actinopteri; Labriformes; Labridae.